GACGAACGCUGGCGGCGUGCUUAACACAUGCAAGUCGAACGAUGAAGCCCAGCUUGCUGGGUGGAUUAGUGGCGAACGGGUGAGUAACACGUGAGCAACGUGCCCGAGACUCUGGAAUAACUACCGGAAACGGUGGCUAAUACGGGAUAUGUGCCAGGGAGGCAUCUCCUCUGGUUGGAAAGAUUUUUCGGUUUCGGAUCGGCUCACGGCCUAUCAGCUUGUUGGUGGGGUAAUGGCCUACCAAGGCGACGACGGGUAGCCGGCCUGAGAGGGUGACCGGCCACACUGGGACUGAGACACGGCCCAGACUCCUACGGGAGGCAGCAGUGGGGAAUAUUGCACAAUGGGCGCAAGCCUGAUGCAGCAACGCCGCGUGAGGGAUGACGGCCUUCGGGUUGUAAACCUCUUUUAGUAGGGAAGAAGCGCAAGUGACGGUACCUGCAGAAAAAGCACCGGCUAACUACGUG
RNAcentral lists this ribosomal RNA (467 nucleotides) under uncultured bacterium. Its description in RNAcentral is "partial 16S ribosomal RNA". It matches the Rfam family "Bacterial small subunit ribosomal RNA", at positions 28 to 507 of the family's 1533-position model. The record is from RNAcentral.